GUUCUAUCUUUGACAGCACAUAUACUAAAAUUGGAACCAUAUAGAGAUUAGCAAAGCCCAAGUGAAAGAAUAAUAUGCAAAUGAUAUAAUAUCCAUAUUUUC
Sciurus carolinensis (gray squirrel) is the source of this 102-nucleotide small nuclear RNA. NCBI's taxonomy places the organism in Eukaryota, Metazoa, Chordata, Mammalia, Rodentia, Sciuridae. The record is from RefSeq and is a predicted model, not a curated record.